UUUUGAUUUAAAAUUUUGAGAAUUAUAAUUUCAACAAUUAGAAGACAAUUAACAUCAUAUUUGUAACCUUCGCGGCCGUUUAUACUACUCAUUCACCACCAAAUGUGAUUUUAUUAACGCCAUGUACCACAGAAUUUUAUGUGGGGUUUGUUGUACUCCAUCCUGGUCAUGGUUUGAAUUUUUAUUUUACUGAUGUGCGUCUUAUCGACGUUUUU
This 215-nucleotide long non-coding RNA is filed under the name Mytilus galloprovincialis (Mediterranean mussel). Lineage: Eukaryota; Metazoa; Mollusca; Bivalvia; Mytilida; Mytilidae. The record is from RNAcentral.